GAUGAACGCUGGCGGCGUGCCUAAUACAUGCAAGUCGAGCGAACAGACGAGGAGCUUGCUCCUCUGACGUUAGCGGCGGACGGGUGAGUAACACGUGGAUAACCUACCUAUAAGACUGGGAUAACUUCGGGAAACCGGAGCUAAUACCGGAUAAUAUAUUGAACCGCAUGGUUCAAUAGUGAAAUACGGUUUUGCUGUCACUUAUAGAUGGAUCCGCGCCGAAUUAGCUAGUUGGUAAGGUAACGGCUUACCAAGGCAACGAUGCGUAGCCGACCUGAGAGGGUGAUCGGCCACACUGGAACUGAGACACGGUCCAGACUCCUACGGGAGGCAGCAGUAGGGAAUCUUCCGCAAUGGGCGAAAGCCUGACGGAGCAACGCCGCGUGAGUGAUGAAAGUCUUCGGAUCGUAAAACUCUGUUAUUAGGGAAGAACAAAUGUGUAAGUAACUAUGCACGUCUUGACGGUACCUAAUCAGAAAGCCACGGCUAACUACGUG
This 497-nucleotide ribosomal RNA is filed under the name uncultured bacterium. RNAcentral's name for it is "partial 16S ribosomal RNA". It matches the Rfam family "Bacterial small subunit ribosomal RNA", at positions 28 to 507 of the family's 1533-position model. The record is from RNAcentral.